This 334-nucleotide long non-coding RNA is filed under the name Olea europaea subsp. europaea. The record is from RNAcentral. Lineage: Eukaryota; Viridiplantae; Streptophyta; Magnoliopsida; Lamiales; Oleaceae.
AAACAUAUAAAAAAAUGCAAGUUGUAUCAAGAAUCCAAUCCUGUUCAAGUUUGCAGUCGUAAUAAAAAAAUAAUAUGGCCAAUACCAAAUAUCCUAAAGGGUGUAUUAUUUUCCAUUACUGUAACAUAUUUUGAAACUGUUCAUAUGUUGAAAAUAAAUCUCGAUUGGGACACAAAAAAUAUAAGUUAUAUCAAGAAUCCAAUCCUCAUCAAGUUGGAGUUGUAGUUAGAAAUAAGUAAAACUUUUCCAUCGCUAUGACAAUUUUCUGCAAUACUAGCUUCCCUUGAAGUUUCCAAUUUCUAAUUUACAGCCAAUUUUUCUUUAUUCUGCAACU